GACAUGGUGGUGCAGCGGGUAGCACUGCAGCCUCGCAGCUCCAGGGUCGCAGGUUCAAUCCUGAGCUCAGGUUA
Non-coding RNA from Pangasius djambal, 74 nucleotides. NCBI's taxonomy places the organism in Eukaryota, Metazoa, Chordata, Actinopteri, Siluriformes, Pangasiidae. The record is from the annotation of a GenBank genome assembly.